RNAcentral lists this ribosomal RNA (442 nucleotides) under uncultured bacterium. RNAcentral's name for it is "partial 16S ribosomal RNA". It matches the Rfam family "Bacterial small subunit ribosomal RNA", at positions 338 to 795 of the family's 1533-position model. The record is from RNAcentral.
CCUACGGGAGGCAGCAGUGGGGAAUAUUGGGCAAUGGGCGAAAGCCUGACCCAGCAACGCCGCGUGAAGGAAGAAGGCUUUCGGGUUGUAAACUUCUUUUGACAGGGACGAGGCGAAGAAGGUUCCUGUCGAAUAAGCCACGGCGAACCACGUGCCAGCCGCCGGGGUAAUACGUAGGUGGCAAGCGUUGUCCGGAGUUACUGGGUGUAAAGGGCGUGUAGCCGGGCUGACAAGUCAGAUGUGAAAUCCGGGGGCUCAACCCCCAAACUGCAUUUGAAACUGUUGGUCUUGAGUGUCGGAGAGGCAGUCGGAAUUCCGAGUGUAGCGGUGAAAUGCGUAGAUAUAAGGAGGAACACCAGUGGCGAAGGCGGACUGCUGGACGGCAACUGACGGUGAGGCGCGAAAGCGUGGGGAGCAAACAGGAUUAGAUACCCGGGUAGUC